UUGAAGGGAGCUGCUCCUAGUACGAGAGGACCGGAGUGGACGAAUCCCUGGUGAUCCAGUUGUCUCGCCAGAGGCAUAGCUGGGUAGCUAAAUUCGGACAGGAUAACCGCUGAAAGCAUCUAAGCGGGAAGCCCCCCCUAAGACUAGAUGUCCCUUCCGUCUUUGGACGGACUAAAGACCCCUCGUAGACUACGAGGUUGAUAGGCCGGGUGUGUAAGUGCGGCAACGUGCUAAGCUAACCGGUACUAAUCGGUCGUGAGGCUUGACCAC
RNAcentral lists this ribosomal RNA (270 nucleotides) under bacterium. RNAcentral's name for it is "partial 23S ribosomal RNA". It matches the Rfam family "Bacterial large subunit ribosomal RNA", at positions 2662 to 2925 of the family's 2925-position model. The record is from RNAcentral.